Molecule: non-coding RNA, 1008 nt
Organism: Ictidomys tridecemlineatus (thirteen-lined ground squirrel)
Lineage: Eukaryota; Metazoa; Chordata; Mammalia; Rodentia; Sciuridae
Source: RefSeq, a predicted model, not a curated record
CUUCUAUCUAAGAGCUAUAAUAGGAAGUUUGGAAUUUGUUGUAGUCUUUUCCUAGUUUGUUCUUAAUUUUUAAUUUGCUUCUUUUCUCAGGUGUUGCUGUAGUUUAGAUCCUGAAUGUCCCCUGAAGGACCAUGAGUUGGAAGCUUGGUCCCCAAGGAGGUGCUACGGAGGGGUGUAACCUUCAAGAGUGGUCCUGGUGGGAUGUCUAUUGUGACUUUCAGAAAACAGGCAUUAUGGAGGAUCUGGAAUAUGAAAACUGAAACAAAAAUCAGAACAUUAUUCCCAAGCCCAUGUGAGACAAUUUUGUGGAAAAGAAACUCCCAGUGGAGGUUUGAUGAGAGUGGAGCUGAUUUUUAUUUCAGAAGGAAGUGAUUAAUAAGUAAUCAAACUGAUCAAACCUAGGGCCUUAUCCAUUCACCCUUUGAAGGACAAUGCUUUGGUGGCUUCCAAGUUUGGGCAAUUACAGAAUAAAACUUCUGUGAGCAUCCAUGUGCCUGUUCUGUGAACUUGAAUAUUCAGCUCACUUGGUUAAUACCAGGAAGUGAAAUUGCUGAAUUCUAAGGCAGAUUUAUCUCUCCUGGAGUACACCAUAGGAAGGAAGUUCCACCACAGGAAGGAAGUAAUCUGGACUUUGGGGAUGACACCAGAAGAUCUCAGCAAUGACUGUCUCCGAAAUUAACAACUGAAUUACAACUACAACAGAGAACCCAUGGAAUGUAGCCUUUGAAGCACCCUUUAAAAGCUGAUCAGUAGAAUCACAGCUUUUGGGACAGGAGUCCCCUGUGUUUCUCCUUUGCUAGCAAAGCAAUAAACUUUCUUAUUCCUUUUUUUUUCUCAAAAUUGUGUCCUCAUUACUGAAUUGGCACUGGGAACAAGGACCAAUCUUUCAGCAACAAUAGUAAAUAAAGAACAUGGCUGGGUUCCAAUAAAAAUGUUUAUAAAAACUGGCAAAGUGACAAAAUUUGUCAAUUUCUUUCCUAAAGCAUUGUUUAGUAAAAAUUUUUUUUU